AGCGAACGCUGGCGGCAGGCCUAACACAUGCAAGUCGAACGGCAGCACAGUAAGAGUUUGCUCUUACGCAUGCCGAGUAACGGACUGGUGAGGAAUACCGCGGAGUCUACUAUUUCGUGGGGGAUAUCGUCGGGAAACUUAGGUUAAUACCGCAUACGACCUAUGAGUGAAAGCAGCAGCACAUCAUACCUUUCGAGUGUGUAUGAGCCGAUGUCGCACUAGCUAGUUGACGGGGUAAAGGCCCACCAAGGCGAUGAUCCGUAGCUGGUCUGAGAGGAUGAUCAGCCACACUGGAACUGAGACACGGCCCAGACUCCUACGGGAGGCAGCAGUAGGGAAUAUUGGACAAUGGGCGCAAGCCUGAUCCAGCCAUACCGCGUGAGUGAAGAAGGGCUUCGGCUUGUAAAGCCCUUUUGUUGGGAAAGAAAAGCAGCAGGUUAAUACGCCGCUGUUCUGACGGUACCCAAAGAGUAAGCACCGGCUAACUUCGUG
This 492-nucleotide ribosomal RNA is filed under the name uncultured bacterium. Its description in RNAcentral is "partial 16S ribosomal RNA". It matches the Rfam family "Bacterial small subunit ribosomal RNA", at positions 29 to 507 of the family's 1533-position model. The record is from RNAcentral.